AUCGAAAUAACCGAAACCAUGCGCAACCGAACCGAAACCGAAUGGUUAACCGAAUGCCCAGGGCUAGUUUAGAUUAUAAUUCAGAGUCAUAUCAUUAAUAAAACUAAUAUUAAUAAAAUAAAUGACUUUUUGGCAAGACGGAUUUUGAGGGACGGGUUUUUGAAUCAACAUUAAUAAAAAAGUAAAAUAUAAUUAAUCCACCGUUUCAAUAUGGGUUAAAUCUUUAAUUUAUUAUUUUUUAAGACCACUAAUAUUAAACAUAUCAAAUCAUCCUAAUUUAGAAAAAU
This 287-nucleotide small RNA is filed under the name Arabidopsis thaliana (thale cress). RNAcentral's name for it is "ATSL079150". The record is from RNAcentral. Lineage: Eukaryota; Viridiplantae; Streptophyta; Magnoliopsida; Brassicales; Brassicaceae.